GUUGGGGUAGCCUAGCCUGGUAGGGCGUUAGACUGCUAAUCUAAUGAUACACUAGUAUCGCAGGGGUUCAAAUCCCUUCCCCAAUG
Methanobrevibacter smithii ATCC 35061 is the source of this 86-nucleotide non-coding RNA. Lineage: Archaea; Methanobacteriati; Methanobacteriota; Methanobacteria; Methanobacteriales; Methanobacteriaceae. The record is from Rfam.